This 253-nucleotide ribosomal RNA is filed under the name uncultured bacterium. Its description in RNAcentral is "partial 16S ribosomal RNA". It matches the Rfam family "Bacterial small subunit ribosomal RNA", at positions 524 to 776 of the family's 1533-position model. The record is from RNAcentral.
UACGGGGGGGGCGAGCGUUGUUCGGAAUUAUUGGGCGUAAAGGGUGCGUAGGCGGCCUGACAAGUCUGAUGUGAAAUCCCUGGGCUCAACCCAGGGCCUGCAUCGGAAACUGUCGGGCUUGAGUAUGGGAGAGGUGAGUGGAAUUUCCGGUGUAGCGGUGAAAUGCGUAGAUAUCGGAAGGAACACCUGUGGCGAAAGCGGCUCACUGGACCAUUACUGACGCUGAGGCACGAAAGCUAGGGAAGCAAACAGG